RNAcentral lists this ribosomal RNA (241 nucleotides) under uncultured bacterium. RNAcentral's name for it is "partial small subunit ribosomal RNA". It matches the Rfam family "Bacterial small subunit ribosomal RNA", at positions 26 to 278 of the family's 1533-position model. The record is from RNAcentral.
AGGACGAACGCUGGCGGCGUGCUUAACACAUGCAAGUCGAGCGGACAUCUUCGGAUGUUAGCGGCGAACGGGUGAGUAACACGUGGGCAACCUGCCCCUAGCUCUGGGAUAACUCCGGGAAACCGGGGCUAAUACUGGAUAUGACCGAUCCAUGCAUGUGGGUUGGUGGAAAGUUUUUCGGCUAGGGAUGGGCCCGCGGCCUAUCAGCUUGUUGGUGGGGUGAUGGCCUACCAAGGCGACG